GCACUCUGGGAUAAGCCUGGGAAACUGGGUCUAAUACUGGAUAUGACCUUUCUCCUUAUGGGGUUUGGUGGAAAGUUUUCGGUGUAGGAUGAGCCCGCGGCCUAUCAGCUUGUUGGUGGGGUGGAUGGCCUACCAAGGCGACGACGGGUAGCCGGCCUGAGAGGGUGAUCGGCCACAUUGGGACUGAGAUACGGCCCAG
RNAcentral lists this ribosomal RNA (199 nucleotides) under uncultured Actinomycetales bacterium. RNAcentral's name for it is "partial 16S ribosomal RNA". It matches the Rfam family "Bacterial small subunit ribosomal RNA", at positions 133 to 334 of the family's 1533-position model. Lineage: Bacteria; Bacillati; Actinomycetota; Actinomycetes; Actinomycetales. The record is from RNAcentral.